This 478-nucleotide ribosomal RNA is filed under the name uncultured organism. Its description in RNAcentral is "partial 16S ribosomal RNA". It matches the Rfam family "Bacterial small subunit ribosomal RNA", at positions 330 to 799 of the family's 1533-position model. The record is from RNAcentral.
CGUACACUCCUGCGGGAGGCAGCAGUAGGGAAUCUUCGGCAAUGGGGGCAACCCUGACCGAGCAACGCCGCGUGAGUGAAGAAGGUUUUCGGAUCGUAAAGCUCUGUUGUAAGUCAAGAACGAGUGUGAGAGUGGAAAGUUCACACUGUGACGGUAGCUUACCAGAAAGGGACGGCUAACUACGUGCCAGCAGCCGCGGUAAUACGUAGGUCCCGAGCGUUGUCCGGAUUUAUUGGGCGUAAAGCGAGCGCAGGCGGUUUGAUAAGUCUGAAGUUAAAGGCUGUGGCUCAACCAUAGUUCGCUUUGGAAACUGUCAAACUUGAGUGCAGAAGGGGAGAGUGGAAUUCCAUGUGUAGCGGUGAAAUGCGUAGAUAUAUGGAGGAACACCGGUGGCGAAAGCGGCUCUCUGGUCUGUAACUGACGCUGAGGCUCGAAAGCGUGGGGAGCGAACAGGAUUAGAUACCCCGGUAGUCCCAUG